AACGAACGCUGGCGGCAUGCCUAACACAUGCAAGUCGAACGAGAUCUUCGGAUCUAGUGGCACACGGGUGCGUAACGCGUGGGAAUCUGCCCUUGGGUUCGGAAUAACAGUGAGAAAUUACUGCUAAUACCGGAUGGUGUCUUCGGACCAAAGAUUUAUUGCCCAGGGAUGAGCCCGCGUAGGAUUAGCUAGUUGGUGGGGUAAUGGCCUACCAAGGCGACGAUCCUUAGCUGGUCUGAGAGGAUGAUCAGCCACACUGGGACUGAGACACGGCCCAGACUCCUACGGGAGGCAGCAGUGGGGAAUAUUGGACAAUGGGCGAAAGCCUGAUCCAGCAAUGCCGCGUGAGUGAUGAAGGCCUUAGGGUUGUAAAGCUCUUUUACCAGGGAUGAUAAUGACAGUACCUGGAGAAUAAGCUCCGGCUAACUCCGUGCCAGCCGCCGCAGUAA
This 449-nucleotide ribosomal RNA is filed under the name uncultured bacterium. RNAcentral describes it as "partial 16S ribosomal RNA". It matches the Rfam family "Bacterial small subunit ribosomal RNA", at positions 29 to 523 of the family's 1533-position model. The record is from RNAcentral.